Molecule: non-coding RNA, 30 nt
Filed under: Mus musculus (house mouse)
Lineage: Eukaryota; Metazoa; Chordata; Mammalia; Rodentia; Muridae
Source: RNAcentral
UAGAUUCUGAAAAUCUAGUUCCUCAAGACA